AAACCAACAGGGAUUGCCCUAGUAACGGCGAGUGAAGCGGCAACAGCUCAAAUUUGAAAUCUGGCGCAAGCCCGAGUUGUAAUUUGUAGAGGAUGCUUCUAGGCAGCGACCGGUUUAAGUUCCUUGGAACAGGACGUCAUAGAGGGUGAGAAUCCCGUAUGUGAUCGGUUGGCACCUUACACGUAGCUCCUUCGACGAGUCGAGUUGUUUGGGAAUGCAGCUCUAAAUGGGAGGUAAAUUUCUUCUAAAGCUAAAUACUGGCUAGAGACCGAUAGCGCACAAGUAGAGUGAUCGAAAGAUGAAAAGCACUUUGGAAAGAGAGUUAAACAGCACGUGAAAUUGUUAAAAGGGAAGCGCUUGCAACCAGACUUGUCGGCAAUGUUCCGCCGGUCUUCUGACCGGUCUACUCAUUGUCCGCAGGCCAGCGUCGUCUGGGGCCGCCGGAUAAGGGCGUCGGGAAUGUAGCUCCCUCGGGAGUGUUAUAGCCCUUCGCACAAUACGGCGCGCGCCGGGCGAGGUCCGCGCUUCGGCAAGGACGUUGGCGUAAUGGUGGUAAGCGGCCCGUCUUGAAAACACGGAC
Molecule: ribosomal RNA, 580 nt
Filed under: uncultured fungus
Lineage: Eukaryota; Fungi
Description: eukaryotic LSU rRNA
Rfam family: Eukaryotic large subunit ribosomal RNA
Source: RNAcentral